Molecule: long non-coding RNA, 4583 nt
Organism: Herpailurus yagouaroundi (jaguarundi)
Lineage: Eukaryota; Metazoa; Chordata; Mammalia; Carnivora; Felidae
Exons: 7
Source: RefSeq, a predicted model, not a curated record
UUGUUUCCUGGCUUCCUGUGGACGUCCUGAGUGUGUUUCUCUCAGUCCGUAAGAGCGUUCUGAGUUUUUGCGGCCUUUCUCGGAGCGUUGUGUCAGAGUGUGUUUCUCUUUUUCUCCGUGUAUUUUUCUGUGUGUUUCAGGAUAAGUUUUUGUCUCUUUCUCUGUCUUUGUGUAAGCGUGUGGGUAGGUCUCGGUUUCUUGGUGUGUGUGUGUGUGUGUGUGUGUGUGUGUGUGUGUGUGUGUCCCCCACCCCCACCCUCUUCACCGCCAAGGGGCUCUAAAUCCACCAGGAUAAAACAGCCCCGAGCCUCCGCCUCCUUCCUUCCCCCUGCCGGGAACACCCGUCCCAACACCCAGGUCGGAAGAAGGGACCCCCGGCCCGGCCCGGCGCGAGGCUCGCAGGGCUCCCAGGCGCGGAGUCCCACUUUGCCCAACUUGUGGGCGCCCGGGGUGCAGCGCGCGGGCUCCGCGGCCCCAACAAAGAUUUCCAGCUUCUCUGGGAAAUUCAGAAGAUCUCUCAAAACACAGCCCAUAUGGCAUGGGUAGGAAUGAUUCAAAGUUCUGAGUAGGACUCCUCUCUGUCUCCAACACGGGAGGUGAGGCACAAGCAGUACCCUUCCUUCCAAUAUGUCUACACGCAAGGGGGUUUUCUCAAAAAAGCUGGCCUGGAUUGUCCAUCAUGGAGUUGCUCCCUGGCCUCUCUCCUUCCUGGUUCAGAGCAGAUACCAGCGGCUGGAGAAGGUCACACAGCAAGAUGGGCUUUGCCAUUGGUUCAUGAUAACAGGCCGAACACAGGCACUCAUUGCUGGUGAGCCAUCUGUCCCCAGGGACCCAGAUCUCACUCUCCUGCUCCCUUAGACAACAGCUUCAUUUCAUCAACCCCCUCACAGCCCUCUUCCACUCUCACUGGCUUCCUUCUGAAAGAAAAAAUGCGGUGCCUUCUUCACCCUUUGGUCAUGAAAUCUCUACACUUACCAGUGUUUUUACUCAUUCUUUCCUCUUCUGCUUCCGCUCUGAAUCCUGCCCCCUCCUUCUCAAGGUCCUGGACCCUUUGCCUUUUUCUAUGUUCUUCUGACUUACUAUCUCAGCCCAUCCUGCAGAAUUGCCAUCAGCAAACGAUUGAGCUCAUCUUAAAUACCGCUGUCUGCAUACCGAGUGCCUCUGUCUACCCGCCCAUGUCUCUGUUCCCUCUCAGCACUAAAAUUCUCCUUAUGUCUCAAUGCCAUCCAAAAAGCUGUCUCUCCUGGCUACCUCCAUUCGUUCUUCUGCCUGCUCAGAUCUGCCUGAUGCCCUGCCUUGCUCCAGAGAGUUGACUUCUCAAGGUCACUAUGAUCUCCGUGUCGCCAAAUGCCCUGGAUGUCCAUGUCUCUUUUUGACAGCAGUCUCUAACCCUGGGGCUGAAGAUGGGGGAGUUGGUGAGUACAUGGUAUAAUGGGUUAAGCUGUGUCCUCCAAAAAGACAAUGGGUAAGUUCAAGCCGGAAGAAGCAUGCCUAAGAAAAAUUUUAAAGCCAUACAAAAUAAGCAUUACACAUACAAGACAAAAUGCCUUUAUUUUUUUCCCCACAAAUUAAGUCAGAGGCUAAAAGCACAGGACCCAGAGACCACCUAUAUAGCACCAAGACUCCUGUUGCAACAGGUCCUUAUCUGAUACCUUGUCUUCCGACUCAGCCCUCUGACAUAUCUGAUUAUUUUUGACGAGUACAAUCAUCUCAACGACAGAGCCAUUCAGAACAUUUCAUUGAUACAGAAGCUCUUCCAAGAGGAUCUGUUUAACUGCUCCAGGGAUCUCUCUGCUGGUGAUGGCUUUUCUGUGGUUGUAGAAGGACAAUCUAACCACCUCCAGGCUAACCCGUUCCAGCAGCCAGUCCUCCAAAGAGCCCAGUGCAUCCGAGAUCCAGGAGCACCCACUGAAGUCUGGCCUUACCUCCUUGUGCCGACAUGAUCUCCAGCCACGCUGGGAAAACUCGCUCUUCCUCGGAUGUGUCCCUACGUUUUCUGGUCUCCAUACCACUGUUGAUCUCCCAUCUCUACCUACCAUGCUGACACCCAACCCCACCUUUCAAAGCUUAUCCACCCUUUAGGAUUCUUCCCCAAGAACCCCUCUGGCUUAUCUGUGUUCCACAACUUCCCACUAAAGAUUAGGGCUCUGUAUAUUCUCAGAACCUGCAUCACAUGCCACUUUAUGUCAUUCAUGACUUCGUCUAAAGUUAGAGGGGCAGCUGGAAUCAUCAGGAGAAUGAUCUCAGGUGCCCUGAGGAUCACCCACCCAGGACUCUAAUCCUAGCUCUGGAUGGGCAUGAGAUGUCAUAUAAGCAAGUAAUAUUCUCACAUUGGGCCUCAGUUUCUUUUUUUGUAAAAGGAAAGGCUUGAAGCAGUAUUUGAAAGGUUUCUCCAUGUCCUCCGUGGUCCCACCCUGCAGGACUUGUGAGCCCCUUUGCGAUACAGACCACAUCGUUUCCAUCUGAGCUCCCCAGCAGACCUGGCUUCUACCGAGACGCUCCAUACAUUAAUCCAACCAACAUGUUUUAUCCUCGCAUGCCCUGAGGGGCUGACCCAAGGCACAGACCCGACCCUUGGGAGACUUGCAGAAGCAGAGUGGCCUGCCAGACCCACGCAGUGAAGGACAGGCCAAGGACAGACUAAUGAUUAGAGGAUUACUCAGUCCAAGAACUUGCACAGAGAGCCCUUCCAGAAAAUGCAGGUUCUCCAGCUGCAGGUUCUCAGUGGGGGACAAUGUCUCUGGGCAUUUUCAGUUGGAAGACAGGGUGCUACUGGCAUCCAGUGGGUAGAGGCCAGGGAUGCUGCCCAGAAUCCCACCAUGCUCCAGACAGCUCCCACAACAAAGAAUGAAGCAGCCCCCAAACGUUAAGUGCUGGGGUUGAGAAACCAGGCCCUAUAUCACAUAUUUCUUUCCUUCUCCUAGCAUUCCUUCAUCCCAUUUUCCCCUUCUUCUCCUAGGAUAAGCAACAGAGUCCAAAUGAAACCCCUGGAAUACAGGGGGCUUUUGUAACCAUCACCCAUGAACACUCAGCCCUGCCCUAUCGUCAUGGAGAAAAUUCAAAAUCAAGCCUUCUUACAUCUGUCACAGAAUUACCCUCUUCUCUUCCCCGUAGCUUCUUCCAAAGGGAAAGCCUUCUCUGAUUUUGUUCUCUGCAACUGUAGGCUACGAAGUGAGGUUGGGUGGGCGGGAAGGAGGAACAAAAGCCUACCCAUGCUAGGUACAUUCGAAGUACAGAGCACCACUUAGUGAAGACCUGAUGUAAGUGCCUCUUCACAGAAUAAGAACAGACGAGGUGGUGAAUCCUCUCUCUGUAAGAGGGCAUUUAAGAAUCAAUUUCUAGAUUGCCUGUCAACAGAUCCAAGAGAGACACGAAGAGCUCAGGUGUUCAGAGUUACUGCCAACAGACAGUGAGCCCAGUGGGAAAAGAUAGCCACCAUCUGCAGAUCCAGUUUAUCGAAGCUGUUUGCACCCAACUUUUCAGGAACUUGGGGCGUGAAGAAGGACCCCUGUGUGAGAAAAGCUGAAGUCAAGAACACACCCAGGGCCACUCACAUGACACGGGUCUCGGCCAUUCUAAGCUUCCAUCAGGAGAGCCCCAACUCACUUGCUUUAGGAUUUUCCCCACGUAACCAAGAUAGGCCUCCUUCUUCUUCUUCCUCUUCUUCUUCCCAGAGGCUGAGCUGGCCCUCCCAUACUUCGCUUGGGCUGCAGUAUACAGCGUAGUCUUCUUCUUCGGGCAUCUUAGGUGGUGUAGGCAAACGCAGUACACGCGGAAGGCUUGAUCCUUAACACGUCUAGGUCACAGCACUGGCUGGAGGCAAGUGAGCGCCUCAAAGGGGUUUGCUAGGGGGAGCUGGAAGGCACGCUCUCCUAAUAAAAUCAGUGGUUAGUGACUGCACCUGCAGGAGACAAUACUCCCAGAACACUUACAAAAUACUAGGUGCGGAGUCUAAUAAGGCAGGCUGAUGGUACAUUCUGGAAAAGAGCUUGAGGUGGGAAACUCAAAAUGUUAGCCUUUCCUCUGUUCUUCCCAUGUAAAGGAGAGAGUGACCAUUUUGACCUGACGGCCAUUAAUUUACCAGGCAACACGGAUCUCCGCAGUGAUUCCUUGUACAUGUGUGACCCCAGGUGUUCUUAUUACAGUGGUUCUUGGCCACAAAGAUUUCCAUUCAAAAGGACUGAGCCUGGGAUCCUGGAAGCUGCAUCUUUUGCUAAAGUGUCCCAGGAGAUGAAUACUGCCAAAGCUCACCAGUUGAGAAACUCUGGGUGAACGGCAGGAGGAGAGGGAAUUUGGGGGACAGAUUAGAAGAUGUCACCUUGGGAAUGAUGUCACACUGUUCCUGGAGUGUCAGCACUAUAGAUACUAAUCGAAUAUUAAUGGUGGAUGAUAUUAGUACCGAAUAGUUGCUACUUUGUCAGGUGGAGGUAAGAAAAGAAUCCAAAUUUUUCCCAGCCCCAGCAAUAUCUUAUUUAACCUCUACACCAAGCUUUUAUUUUUUUAUUUAUUUUUUAUUUUUUGUAUUUUGAAUUUCCAGUUUUUUUGUUUGUUUAUUUUUAAUAUAUGUUUUAAAUUUAUACCCA